Non-coding RNA from Zonotrichia albicollis (white-throated sparrow), 569 nucleotides. The record is from RefSeq and is a predicted model, not a curated record. Lineage: Eukaryota; Metazoa; Chordata; Aves; Passeriformes; Passerellidae.
UGUGCCUGGCAUUGUCAGGCACGGUGCUGUUCCCACAGGGACAGUCCCAGUGUGCUGCUGGAGGUCAUCCUCUCUUUUCCCAAGAAACUGGGCUGGCAUCCCCUGUCUGUGCUGCCUCUUUCAGCAAGGCUCGUGCAUGUGGGAAUGUUGCUGUGUCUGGGACAAAGCAGCUCUUGGCUUUUCCCUGCAGGCAGUGUGGAUUUUGGGCCAGAUGUCACCUCUUCUGACAAGAGUAUUAAAGUGCUGCUCAAUUCCCAGGACAAAGUGUUCAGCCAGAUCCGGAAUGAGCACUUCUCCAACGUCUUUGGCUUCCUGAGCCAGAAGUCACGGAACCUGCAGGCGCAGUACGACAUAUCGGUGCCUGUGAGUCUAUCAUGAAAAAGAAAACCAAGCAGGACUUCCAGGAGACCAUCAAGGCUGAACACUCACUGCUGGAGGGCUUUGACAUCCGUGAGAGCACCAGCUUCAUCGAGGAGCACAUCGACCGCCAGGUGUCCCCCGUCGAGAGCCUGCGCCUCAUGUGCCUCCUGUCCAUCACUGAAAACGGUGAGUGCCGCGCUCUGCGGGGC